Molecule: ribosomal RNA, 493 nt
Filed under: uncultured bacterium
Lineage: Bacteria
Description: partial 16S ribosomal RNA
Rfam family: Bacterial small subunit ribosomal RNA
Source: RNAcentral
GAGUGAACGCUGGCGGUAGGCCUACCCCCUGCAAGUCGAACGGCAGCACAGUAAGAGCUUGCUCUUACGGGUGGCGAGUGGCGGACGGGUGAGGAAUACAUCGGAAUCUACUUUUUCGUGGGGGAUAACGUAGGGAAACUUACGCUAAUACCGCAUACGACCUACGGGUGAAAGCAGGGGAUCUUCGGACCUUGCGCGAUUGAAUGAGCCGAUGUCGGAUUAGCUAGUUGGCGGGGUAAAGGCCCACCAAGGCGACGAUCCGUAGCUGGUCUGCGAGGAUGGUCAGCCACACUGGAACUGAGACACGGUCCAGACUCCUACGGGAGGCAGCAGUGGGGAAUAUUGGACAAUGGGCGCAAGCCUGAUCCAGCCAUACCGCGUGGGUGAAGAAGGCCUUCGGGUUGUAAAGCCCUUUUGUUGGGAAAGAAAAGCAGCAGGUUAAUACCCCGCUGUUCUGACGGUACCCAAAGAAUAAGCACCGGCUAACUUCGUG